AUAAUUUACGUCACGCAGCAGCCGCGGAUAAUGACGUAGGGUGCGAGCGUUAAUCGGAAUUACUGGGCUGUAAGAGCGUGCGCAGGCGGUUUAUUGUAAUGACAGGCGUGAAAUCCACCGGGUCUCAACCUGGAGAACGUGCGUUUGUGACUGCAAGGCUAGAGUACGGCAGAGGGGGUGUGGAAUUCCACGUGUAGCAGUGAAAUGCGUAGAGAUGUGGAGGAACACCAAUGGCGAAGGCAGCCCCCUGGGUCGAUACUGACGCUCAUGCACGAAAGCGUGGGUAGCAAACAGGAUUAGAUACCCUGGUAGUCCACGCCCUAAACGAUGUCAACUAGGUGUUGGGUGGGUAAAACCAUUUAGUACCGGAGCUAACGCGUGAAGUUGACCGCCUGGGGAGUACGGCCGCAAGGUUAAAACUCAAAGGAAUUGACGGGGACCCGCACAAGCGGUGGAUGAUGUGGAUUAAUUCGAUGCAACGCGAAAAACCUUACCUACCCUUGACAUGUCCAGAAGCCUGAAGAGAUUUGGGUGUGCCCGAAAGGGAACUGGAACACAGGUGCUGCAUGGCUGUCGUCAGCUCGUGUCGUGAGAUGUUGGGUUAAGUCCCGCAACGAGCGCAACCCUUGUCGUUAAUUGCCAUCAUUUGGUUGGGCACUUUAACGAGACUGCCGGUGACAAACCGGAGGAAGGUGGGGAUGACGUCAAGUCCUCAUGGCCCUUAUGGGUAGGGCUUCACACGUCAUACAAUGGUCGGUACAGAGGGUUGCCAAGCCGCGAGGUGGAGCCAAUCCCAGAAAGCCGAUCGUAGUCCGGAUCGCAGGCUGCAACUCGCCUGCGUGAAGUCGGAAUCGCUAGUAAUCGCGGAUCAGCAUGUCGCGGUGAAUACGUUCCCGGGUCUUGUACACACCGCCCGUCACACCAUGGGAGCGGGUUCCGCCAGAAGUAGGUAGCCUAACCGCAAGGGGGGCGCUUACCACGGCGGGGUUCGUGACUGGGGUGAAGUCGUAACAAGGUAGCCGU
Molecule: ribosomal RNA, 1023 nt
Filed under: uncultured Dechloromonas sp.
Lineage: Bacteria; Pseudomonadati; Pseudomonadota; Betaproteobacteria; Rhodocyclales; Azonexaceae
Description: bacterial SSU rRNA
Rfam family: Bacterial small subunit ribosomal RNA
Source: RNAcentral